AAAAUCAAAAUUGAACUCAUUCUUCUCUUCUCUUCUCGAAAUCACGAAAGCUAAACCCCCAAAAUCCUGUUCAUCUGAGAAGCUCAGAAUCCCUAAAUUUCUCAUCACUCUCAGUUGAUAAAUCCCAAACGACUCACAAAAUUCUCUAUCCGUUGGUUUUCAUCCCCAAAGUCCCUAAAUUCUUUAUCUGUUCAAUCCUCCCACUUUUGUGUGGACAUUCAAGACUUACGAAGGCAGUGACGUUUGCGGCGAUUGACUGACAAAGGUUUUUCUGCGAUUCACCAAGCGAUUGUGAACCUUUCAUCAAAUCCUCCAUUUUUGUGUGAAUUCAAGCAUACAUGGGAUAACUCAUGAUCUCUCUCCAUUGAUGGAAGUGGUAGGAAGCUAAGAUGUUGGAGAUUAUUAGGAUCCGAGAUUAGAAGAAUCAUAAGAGACAAAGAGCUUUUGAAGAAAAGAUAGUAAAAUUCAAAGUUGCUUCAAAAAGGUUCUUUGGCUUUCAAGUAAAGGGGCAGAAGUAGAAAGAUUGGUGAUUUAGUGGUUUGGGGCUUUUGGCAUCAAGUAGAAAUCAAUCCUUGAGGUGAGUUUCCUACAUGACUCUGAUUGUUGAUAGAACAUUUAGCUAAAAAUUGAUAGAUGAAUAUGAGUUUAUGCAUAUAGAGAAAAUUAGCUAAAACUGUUUUAUAUAUUUUAUUCCCUUUAAAUGCAUUUAAAUUGAAAUUUGUUAUUGAUAUUUAGAUUGAUAAUUUGCAGAAUGAAUGAAUUUGAUACAUCACAUAAUAGGGCUGCAACCACAGGGGAUAACCUUAGAAGGAAUAGAGAAUAAGUUAAAGUUAUAGAGCUUGAUUCAUUGUUAUGGUGCAGCCCUUCGACGACUACUAGUUAAUUAGUAAUAUACACGAAUUCAUGAAAUUUGCAUUCAGUAAGUAAUAGUGAAUCUAGAGCAUUAAAUUUAUUCCUACCUAUGUGGUCGAUAAGAUUAUUAACUAGAAUGAACCAAGGGACUAAGCACGUACGCCUUGAUUAUUCAGAUAAGAAGCAUUGUUAUGAUCCAAGUUAAUGAUCAUGAACAUCAUUUAAAAUGGACGGCUUAUGACAGGUAAAUUAAAUGUUUAACAAUAGUUGAACGCUCAGAAUUCUACAGGUUAAAACUGUCGGUUAUUAUUAAAUAAAACAAUGACAUAAUUUUGUUAAUUAGGAGGGUGGUAAGGAUCCAGAAAGAGGUGCAGGUCUGUCUAGUGUGGAUUCAGAGUAGUAUCUUGUGUAGGUCGGUCUCAAAAUGGCUCGGGAUGGUAUUGUUUUGUCGGUAGUUUUGUUGUGGUAUGUUUGUUGAUGUGUUUCUUAAUUUCUGCUUAAGAGUUAACUUGGCUUUUAGUUUUAUAGUGGCAUAUAUCUUUUUUUAUCUUGUCUUAGUUAGCACAUAUUGUUGAAGAAUUUCAAGAUUUGGAAGCACAAAAUGAAGAGAUGUAAAUGGUGUUUAUGCUUUUAUUUUUCAUAGAUCAAUGAUAAUUGACAUUUUGAACUGGGUUAUACAUCAAAGACCAAAAAUAUUAUUUUGUAAUUUUGAUGAUAUUUUGAUUGUAAUGAAUAAUAUGAUUGAUUGACUAGUA
This is a long non-coding RNA of Medicago truncatula (barrel medic), 1607 nucleotides long. RefSeq lists it as uncharacterized. The transcript is spliced from 2 exons. Lineage: Eukaryota; Viridiplantae; Streptophyta; Magnoliopsida; Fabales; Fabaceae. The record is from RefSeq and is a predicted model, not a curated record.